Molecule: ribosomal RNA, 674 nt
Filed under: alpha proteobacterium IMCC14317
Lineage: Bacteria; Pseudomonadati; Pseudomonadota; Alphaproteobacteria
Description: bacterial SSU rRNA
Rfam family: Bacterial small subunit ribosomal RNA
Source: RNAcentral
AUGAACGCUGGCGGCAUGCCUAACACAUGCAAGUCGAACGAAGGCUUCGUCCUUAGUGGCGCACGGGUGCGUAACGCGUGGGAAUCUGCCCUCAGGUUCGGAAUAACAGAGAGAAAUUGCUGCUAAUACCGGAUGAUAUCGCGAGAUCAAAGAUUUAUCGCCUGAGGAUGAGCCCGCGUAGGAUUAGCUAGUUGGUGUGGUAAAGGCGCACCAAGGCGACGAUCCUUAGCUGGUCUGAGAGGAUGAUCAGCCACACUGGGACUGAGACACGGCCCAGACUCCUACGGGAGGCAGCAGUGGGGAAUAUUGGACAAUGGGCGAAAGCCUGAUCCAGCAAUGCCGCGUGAGUGAUGAAGGCCUUAGGGUUGUAAAGCUCUUUUACCCGGGAUGAUAAUGACAGUACCGGGAGAAUAAGCUCCGGCUAACUCCGUGCCAGCAGCCGCGGUAAUACGGAGGGAGCUAGCGUUAUUCGGAAUUACUGGGCGUAAAGCGCACGUAGGCGGUUUUGUAAGUUAGAGGUGAAAGCCCGGAGCUCAACUCCGGAAUUGCCUUUAAGACUGCAUCGCUUGAAUCCAGGAGAGGUGAGUGGAAUUCCGAGUGUAGAGGUGAAAUUCGUAGAUAUUCGGAAGAACACCAGUGGCGAAGGCGGCUCUACUGGACUGGUAUGACGCUGA